CUCCGUCCCAUUGUUUGCAUUUUAUCUAGCUCUCGAUGUGGACGGCGGAGUAAAAGGCGCCAGUGUUUGGUGUCCUUCCAGAGAGAAACAUCACAAACUGCUGCAUGAGGUUUUAAAACCUGAAGCGAAGCUACAAAGAGCAGGUCGGAGAGAAGUCGAGGAGAGACACUUCAACAUGAACUCUGAGAGGAAACGGUCAGCUGGCCAGCAGAGAGGUGGAGGAGGUGGAGAUUUGAGAAACGCUACGCAGAGGAGGUCCGGUCCACAGAGUGCUAUUGAAUCACAUCUGAAUUCUUGUCAUCAAAGAACAAUUGAGCUCAUAGAACUGAAAAGGGUUUCUGUUAUGUGCGCACUUUAUUAUUUUAGUUGUUAUUUUUCAUACCUGUGUUUAUCUGUAUGUAUGCCAUGUUUCUGUGUAUAUUAAUACACUUCUCAAACUUUAUCCUGAUUUCCUAGUCUCUUUAUUGAUGUUCAAUUCCCUGUGCUCUUAACAAUCUAGUUUUCUUC
This 507-nucleotide long non-coding RNA is filed under the name Sander lucioperca (pikeperch). RNAcentral describes it as "lncRNA (ENSSLUG00000004288.1)". Lineage: Eukaryota; Metazoa; Chordata; Actinopteri; Perciformes; Percidae. The record is from RNAcentral.